RNAcentral lists this ribosomal RNA (168 nucleotides) under Alfaroa williamsii. Its description in RNAcentral is "5.8S ribosomal RNA". It matches the Rfam family "5.8S ribosomal RNA". From Rfam's summary of the family: 5.8S ribosomal RNA (5.8S rRNA) is a component of the large subunit of the eukaryotic ribosome. It is transcribed by RNA polymerase I as part of the 45S precursor that also contains 18S and 28S rRNA. Functionally, it is thought that 5.8S rRNA may be involved in ribosome translocation. The record is from RNAcentral. RNAcentral also lists the same sequence under 3 other names. Lineage: Eukaryota; Viridiplantae; Streptophyta; Magnoliopsida; Fagales; Juglandaceae.
AUAUAUAACGACUCUCGGCAACGGAUAUCUCGGCUCUCGCAUCGAUGAAGAACGUAGCGAAAUGCGAUACUUGGUGUGAAUUGCAGAAUCCCGCGAAUCAUCGAGUCUUUGAACGCAAGUUGCGCCCGAAGCCUUCGGGCCGAGGGCACGUCUGCCUGGGCGUCACGC